UACAGAGGUCUCAAGCGUUGUUCGGAAUCACUGGGCGUAAAGGGUGCGUAGGUGGCGUGGAAAGUCAGAUGUGAAAUCCGGAGGCUCAACCUCCGAAUUGCAUCCGAUACUCCCAUGCUAGAGAACUGGAGGGGAGUCUGGAAUUCUCGGUGUAGCAGUGAAAUGCGUAGAUAUCGAGAGGAACACGAGUGGCGAAGGCGAGACUCUGGACAGUUUCUGACACUGAUGCACGAAGGUCAGGGGAGCAAACGGG
Molecule: ribosomal RNA, 253 nt
Filed under: uncultured bacterium
Lineage: Bacteria
Description: partial 16S ribosomal RNA
Rfam family: Bacterial small subunit ribosomal RNA
Source: RNAcentral